CGCGCACGCCGACCCCGCACGCCGCCCCACCGCGCGCACCUUGAUAAAAGGGAUAUAUACCUGCUCUCAAGCAUCAAAACCUAAAAGAUGUGGAAAAGCAAAGGAAAAAAUUUGAGGGAAAGUUGUUGACUGACAUUGAGAUUUUCAUGGAGGAGGUUGACAAGUUCAGAUGUCUAACUGUGAGGCUGUGAUAAUUACCAUCGACUGCUUCAGCUGCUACUUGCAAAUACUAUGAAAGUGUACGGACAAGUAUGAAGGCACAUGGUGUACUCUUCAGCUUCUUCUGGCUAUUUAAUUGGCCAAAUCAUUUGAGCAAAGGCCAUUUGCAGUCCUUCCACUUCGUAUUUGUGCAAGACUCUGAGGAUUCCUUAUCGCAUCCAGCAUCCUGUCCAAGAACUGAAUGAACUGGCAGUCUUCAUGAGCAACCUGGGGGUCUGAAAACCUGUUGAGAUGUGGCUCGUGGUCCUGCGCGCACAUUGCAAACAGCUGCUGCUCGGCGCGGCGGCGAUGGUGCCUGCGCGCUUGCCGCCAUCGCUGUCACCGUCGUGUUGGUCUUCCUAUACUGCUUCCUAGAGGUCCAUGUCAUCGGCGACAUCCUCCGCGGUUUUCACGGCGGCCGCGUUGAGCUCCCCUUCCACCCAGCCUCGGAGAUCUACCACCACGUCGCGUCCAAGUGCCGCUCCCUCCACGGCAGGUACCUGGCGACGCCAUCGCUGGCGAGUCCGCAUCUGCAGACAUUGUUCCUCGGCAUCUCUGGGAGGCCUCCAUCAUUCAAGAGGUUAGAUUCAGUGCAAGAGAGUUAACAUUACUCCAGUCUUUUAGAUUUCCGUAUUCAAUCUAGCCAUUUAGACACUCUUUGUAAAAUUGAGUACAACAGACAUUUGGACCCUUUCAAGAGUUUAUUCUGCUCUGUUAUACAUCACCAUGAAAGUACGACACUUUUCCCAGCAAUUUUUUGGAAGAACGAAUUAUAUGGUAUGAAAGUAUUUUUCCCUUAGUAAAAUCAAUCAUGUGUCGUCAAUCUAUGUAGCUUCUUAUAUGUUAUUGAUCAAAGCUUAAAGGUUUGACAAUCAGUAUCGACAAAACGAUUUAUAUCUGCAAUCAGAGGGAAUAAUAUCUAAUUUUGCAAUGAAUUCAUGCUGCUCCUCUUUCACCGUAAAGUGGGCUAUAUGUAUGCAAAUCUCAAUCGGCUUGUAUGCAUGAGCGCUGCAAGAAUAUUUGGGUGUUGUUUGUAGCAUUUUUACAGUUCCGUGAAUGAAUUCCUCAACAUGUCAAGAUUGUUUUGGUGACUCUAUUGGUUAUUAGAGAAACUUAUGGUGUGAUAAUGAACAUGAAUUUUGUAGAAAGGGAAAGAAAAAGAAAGUAAGAAAGCUGAUUAGCAAUUUAUUGCAUUUAUUUUAUUGAAAGUAAUUCUUUGCUUUCUGACAAGGAACACAAUAUAAUACCCACUAAUAUGUUUAUAAAUGAUUUUAUUGAGGGUAACAAAUGAUUAAGCACUUAACACGAUUUUAUUGAAAGUAACAAAUGACUUUCUCUAGAUUAAGCCCUUAACUAAUUUUCUCAGGAUACAUCCUUAUUUGUACAGUUCAGUGAGCCAAAACACUAUUUUUGCUUUCUUAGUUGGCAGUUUACUAAUUACAAUCUCUGCACGGCAGACAGUUGUACACAGUCCGUGAUGGUGGAACCAUUACUCUAGAAGGUAGAGGAUCACAUAUUGUGUGUAAUGUGUGUUGUACAUGGUGUUAUCUGACCUUUUUGGUUAUGUUGCAGAUGCAGACCGUUUCAUUUCUAAAGAUGAUUCAACACCCCUUGUAGUUGUGGUUCCUGUAAAUAUUUUUUUUUACUAGGUUCAUUUUUUUAAAAAUAUAUAUCAUUGCCACAUGUCAACUCAUACUAUAACUAUAUAAUUUUUUAUUUUUUGGAUUUUUGUAAAUAUGUGUGCCGCACAUGGGCAUCUGCUAGUAGUGAUAAAGCUUCUAAAAAGCUAACAGUAGGCUCCGGCUACUUAAAACGAUGAGAUGUUUUGUUA
Long non-coding RNA from Panicum virgatum (switchgrass), 2029 nucleotides. RefSeq lists it as uncharacterized. Lineage: Eukaryota; Viridiplantae; Streptophyta; Magnoliopsida; Poales; Poaceae. The transcript is spliced from 5 exons. The record is from RefSeq and is a predicted model, not a curated record.